Molecule: ribosomal RNA, 1319 nt
Filed under: uncultured Alphaproteobacteria bacterium
Lineage: Bacteria; Pseudomonadati; Pseudomonadota; Alphaproteobacteria
Description: uncultured alpha proteobacterium 16S ribosomal RNA
Rfam family: Bacterial small subunit ribosomal RNA
Source: RNAcentral
ACGCUGGCGGCACGCCUAACACAUGCAAGUCGAACGAAGUAGCAAUACUUAGUGGCAGACGGGUGAGUAACAUGUAGGUAUCUGCCCUUUGGCCUGGAAUAACACGAGGAAACUUGUGCUAAUACCGGAUAAGUCUUUACAGAGAAAGCUUUAUGCACCAUUGGAUGAGCCUGCACUUGAUUAGUUUGUUGGUGGGGUAAUGGCCUACCAAGACUUUGAUCAAUAGCUGAUUUGAGAGGAUGAUCAGCCACAUUGGGACUGAGACACGGCCCAAACUCCUACGGGAGGCAGCAGUGGGGAAUCUUGCACAAUGGAGGAAACUCUGAUGCAGCGAUGCCGCGUGAGUGAAGAAGGCCCUUGGGUUGUAAAGCUCUUUCGUCGGGGAAGAAAAUGACUGUACCCGAAUAAGAAGGUCCGGCUAACUUCGUGCCAGCAGCCGCGGUAAUACGAAGGGACCUAGCGUAGUUCGGAAUUACUGGGCUUAAAGAGUUCGUAGGUGGUUGAAAAAGUUGGUGGUGAAAUCCCAGAGCUUAACUCUGGAACUGCCAUCAAAACUUUUCAGCUAGAGUAUGAUAGAGGAAAGCAGAAUUUCUAGUGUAGAGGUGAAAUUCGUAGAUAUUAGAAAGAAUACCAAUUGCGAAGGCAGCUUUCUGGAUCAUUACUGACACUGAGGAACGAAAGCAUGGGUAGCGAAGAGGAUUAGAUACCCUCGUAGUCCAUGCCGUAAACGAUGUGUGUUAGACGUUGGAAAUUUAUUUUCAGUGUCGCAGCGAAAGCGAUAAACACACCGCCUGGGGAGUACGACCGCAAGGUUAAAACUCAAAUGAAUUGACGGGGACCCGCACAAGUAGUGGAGCAUGUGGUUUAAUUCGAAGAUACGCGCAGAACCUUACCAACACUUGACAUGUUCGUCGCGACUUUAAGAGAUUAAAGUUUUCGGUUCGGCCGGACGAAACACAGGUGCUGCAUGGCUGUCGUCAGCUCGUGUCGUGAGAUGUUGGGUUAAGUCCCGCAACGAGCGCAACCCUCACUUUUAGUUGCCAUCAUUAAGUUGGGCACUCUGAAAGAACUGCCAGUGAUAAGCUGGAGGAAGGUGGGGAUGACGUCAAGUCCUCAUGGCCCUUACGUGUUGGGCUACACACGUGCUACAAUGGUAUCUACAACAGGAAGCAAGACGGCGACGUUUAGCAAAUCCCCAAAAGCCGUCCCAGUUCGGAUUGUACUCUGCAACUCGAGUGCAUGAAGUUGGAAUCGCUAGUAAUCGUGGAUCAGCAUGCCACGGUGAAUACGUUCCCGGGCCUUGUACACACCGCCCGUCA